AGAGCGGAGGAGCCUAGGUGUCUCCAGCGGAGGUUUCCACAGCGGUUGCGGGAAUGUGGUGGGGAGGGUCCGUGAGGGGAGUUCGUGAGGAGCAUAGUCUGAAAUGUGCCUACGCUCUGGUAGGACUGGCCUCAGUACUCCAUCUGCCUGCUGCCCCYAGGCCACCAAUGCUGUAGAAGGCCUCUUAUAGUUACCCUGGCGUUGGGAAGGACUUGCUGCC
This is a long non-coding RNA of Urocitellus parryii (Arctic ground squirrel), 220 nucleotides long. RefSeq lists it as uncharacterized. Lineage: Eukaryota; Metazoa; Chordata; Mammalia; Rodentia; Sciuridae. The record is from RefSeq and is a predicted model, not a curated record.